RNAcentral lists this ribosomal RNA (253 nucleotides) under uncultured bacterium. Its description in RNAcentral is "partial 16S ribosomal RNA". It matches the Rfam family "Bacterial small subunit ribosomal RNA", at positions 524 to 776 of the family's 1533-position model. The record is from RNAcentral.
GACAGAGGGUGCAAACGUUGUUCGGAAUUACUGGGCGUAAAGCGCGUGUAGGCGGCCCUGUAAGUCGGAUGUGAAAUCCCACGGCUCAACCGUGGAAGUGCAUUCGAAACUACAGGGCUAGAGUCCUGGAGAGGAAGGUGGAAUGCUUGGUGUAGAGGUGAAAUUCGUAGAUAUCAAGAGGAACACCGGUGGCGAAGGCGGCCUUCUGGACAGUGACUGACGCUGAGACGCGAAAGCGUGGGGAGCAAACAGG